CACACGUGCGCGCGUGCACAGAGAGAAACAAAGGGACCCAUCAACACUAGCACGGACACGCACGCGCUCCAACUUUUUUUUGUUGUUAUCCACCCAUCGGAUACCUCCGCGAGGCGCGAGCUGCUCCACUGUGUCCAGAUCUGUGGGAUUUUACGGAACCAGACGUUUCACAACUGUGCUCAAUUUUGGGAUUUUUGAUUAUUUCGAUAUUUAUGGAUUAAGGAUUACCCACAAUUCCUUUUCUUGUUACUGGAUUAUUACUCUGCACUGGGAUUAGUGCACCAUCCAUGAGGGGAGAGCAGCACGAAGCGUACUAAUCACGAGGAAUCAGAUGGUUUGGAAUUUGAUCAUAUUCCAGAUGUAUCCAGAAAUAGCAGAAUGGGCGACUGCUGAAUCUGUCCACCACUUCCUGUACAAGAUUAUCUUAUCUUUCCUCUUUCAGCUCCCACACCAUGUGAUCCUGCCAUUCUUCAGUGAAACAUCGGUCGCUCCCAAAUCCAAAAACGUCCUCCAGACGUCCAGACGUUCUUGUUUCAUACCCUGUCUGUUCAGAUCCUCCUUUUCCUAAACUUACUGGUUUAGAGCUGUGGUGGAUUCAGAGCCUAUCUUGGGAUUUGCUGAGCUCAAGGCAGGGAUACACCCUGAAACACACACACACACACACACACACACACAGACUGGACCCGGUGUUUUGGAUCGAUUCUGAAUCCUUCACACGCAGCUGAUAAGCAACAGAGGAUGUGAGAUGAUUACUCAUAGAUAUGAUGGAGUUAGAUUAGGGAAGAUUAUCACGUGUUACCAUAGCAACAUUGAUUAAAACAAUAUAAACAUGUCACUUAUAAAUAAAAUGAUCAACAGUAGGCUGUAAUACUGGAGCACCAUCAAAUCUAGUGUUUCCCCUCCUCUCUCUCGUACUUUAAACCUCUCUGUCCUUCUAACUGUCUCUCCUUUCUGAUUAACUGUGUCUAUUCUCUUAUCUGUCUCUCCUGUUUUUGUCUGUGUAUCUUGUGUACCUGUAUCACCUCCUGUGUCUCUUACUGUCACUCUGUCUCUCUCUCUGUCAGUCUCUCGUUUGUCUCUUCAUGUAUGUGUCUUUAUCAUCUGCCUGUUUCUCUCCUCCUGUAUGUCUCUGCUUCUGUCUGUCUCUUUAUCUUAAAUGCUCUCAUUUAGUCUGUCUGUCUUUCAUUCUAUUGCAUUCCAUCUUUCUCUCCUACUGACUCUCUCUACUUGUCUGUCUACGUUCCUAUGUGUCUUGUGUUCUGUCUUUUCUUCUAUUGCUCUCCAUCCAUCUGUCCAGCUGCCUACUUCUGUCUGUCUCUCCUCCAAUGUUGUGUUUCACUAUCUGUCUCUCUCCAAAAUGUGUCUUCAGUUUUGUUUCUCUCUGUUUCCUUCCUUCAAUCCAUCCAUCCAUCCAUCCAUCCAUCUAUCAGUUUCUGAUUUGUUUAUGGUCUGUUCUAAAGCAAUCUAACAGCCCUGAGUGAUAGAUACAGAUAGAAGCAUGUUAACAACCGUUCUGUUUUAAAUGCCUUUAAAAUAGCAGAAUGCAGUUCAAGUUGAGGCUGUUUUAGGCAACGGGUGUGUGUGUGUGUGUGUGUGUGUGUGUGUGUGUGUGUGUGUGUGUGUGUGUGUGAUUGAGAUUCCUGUGGGAGAUUUUUACUAGACGUUAAUGAACUCCACUUGGUGCAGGAGAGCGUGUGUGUAUUCCAGCGGCGGGGGUUCAGGCGAGUUCAUUGCUCUGAGCUUUUCUAAAUGAACGACUUGUAAAAGCAACCAAACUCGCAGGCGUUCUCUCGUUCGUAGCAUUUUUUUUGGCGGAGAGACGGAAACGGAUCUGCAGUCCACCUGAAGACAGCGGCGUGUUUUAACACUAACACUAGUGGUUGCUGGUUGUUCUGUGAAGGCUGCACUGCUCCUGUUUACUGGCUGAACUCAAACGCAUGCAGACCUCACAUACAUACAUCAGUGAUGAUCUGUUCACUGAUCAGUGUAACCUGCUUUAGAAGAACUUAAAUAAAUAAAUAAACUGAAAUAAGUCAGCUAGCACUGCAAAGCUUUGUGUUGAUGAUGUAAGGUAAGGGGGUUUUGAGGGUUGUCCCAAAAGCUUCAGCUUUCAGCGCUUCUAUGAUGUAGCUCAUGUUUGGGUUUUCCUGUGCUGCUGGCUGCCACUCAACUUUAUGUCUUUAUUUUCUCCAAACCUGUCCUUUUUCUACUUCAUCUGUCCAUCCACUGGUUUCCUUAAAUGGCUUUGUCUUCAUUUGAAUAUUGUUUUUUUAGUGAGGUCAUGGAUAAGAUUUUUUUUCUGAUGACUCCUUCAUGCAGAUCACGUUGUUCACAGAGCUGCUGUGUAAGCUACACCUUCAUAAAAGUUCUUGCUGUCAUAUUGGUCUGCUCUAUCAUCUAUCACAUAUUUACUUGACGUUCUUAAUGAAAUUGAAUGAAAAUUGUCAGCUGGAAAGCGUUUUCUUUUUAUAGCCCUGCUUUGUUGGCAUCAAUUAGCAUGAUGUUCAGAUCCUUAGUCAGCUGCUGUGAGGAGCCCAUGGCUGCUGAGUGUUAGCACAAGGUUUGACGAGUCAGAGAAUUUAUUACGCUCUGGAUAUGUUCUUCCUAAUGACGGUUCUUGACCUGUUUAAUGAGUCCUAAUGAGUCAAUUAAGGCCCAGCUUUUGCAAAUUCCACAUUGUUAUUUUAUUUAUUUAUUUAUUUUCGUUCAUCAUGUAUAAAGUAUGUCUGCGUUAACGUUUGCAAACAGAAAGUUAAUUGAAUUUAAAUGUUUAAUAUGUUUUGUAAUGUAAUUUGAAUAGGGGUGCCUAAACUUUUGCACACACCUGUUUUGUUUUUUUUUUUGUUUUUUUUUUAGAUUUUAGUGCUGUGUGAGAUUUGGAGUGAUGAGUUAGAAAUUUGAGAAAAGAGGGAUAAUAAAUUAGAGGUGGGAAAGAAAGAAAAGAAAAGAUUAGAAGUGAAGAAGUCAUCAGUGAACUCACAUCACCCUUCAGCUCGGCAAUAAUUUGCCUUUAUAAGCAGCGAUUACUGUGUGUAACUGCCUAGAAACUCAAACACACACACACACACACACACAAGGUCGUCUGGUGUAAGCAGGCCUUGUCUGAACCUCGUUGUGCUGCCAAACCUCACACCUCUGUGAUUACAGCCUGUUUACAUAGAAGGGACUUUCCAGGCCGGUGUUCAUGCCCCGGUUUCUGUUAAGGAAGAAGACCAGAGAGCAUGGGAGUGUUUUCUGCACCUUGAUGAAGAAAAUAUCUCUCUGUGGGCUGUGACUAAAGAACCCUACAGCUAACCAGUGGUUAUGUAACCAAGCAUAAGGAACUGUGAUUGAUCACGAUGUUCACGUCGGGACUCGUCAAGGAAACAGCAACGAGGAGGAGGAGGAAGAUUCAUCCUGAGUCACUGAGUGAAACUGAGAAUGUGAGGACAGAAGACUGGAAGGAGAUGAAGCCCCUCUCUGUGAGGUCAGGAGCCACUAUUGAUUACCCGCCCAGCAGGAGCCCACUUGGACGUUUAAAGACUUGACAAACCCAGGGAAAGUGAGCCAUGAGCCGUCACACCUUGUGACCCAGGAAGGAAAUUCAGGAGCAAAUUAGUGGCAGAUGGAUGACAUGACCUGGAGACCAGAGCACGAGAUGAGUGCCCAGACUGCGCGACUCCCCCUGUGACCCCCCGUAACCCCUCUGACCACUCUGUACACGUCUCCCACUCUGUACAGCGUGCAGACAGCCGAGCCGCCGGACUCUUCCCACUGGCGUUCGUUAAGACGACAGCUUUUACAAAGCUGAAGCUUCGGGUCGAGAGUCCGACUGCCUCCUCUCGAGGGGAAAAGAGACUGUCUCGACCGCACAGAGGGGAAAAGAGACGCUCUGAGGGGCAGAAGGAUGUGUUUACACCUGCUGGAGGAAGGAGAGAGUGAGGAAGAGCUCAAGGAAGGGGGAGGAGGAGGAGGAGGAGGAGAAGGAGGAGAUAAAGCGUCUCCUGUCUCAUCAUUCCGAGUCGUACUGCUGCCAUCCAGCUCACAUGAGAGGAACAGCACAUCCAUCCAUCCGGUCUGAUCCCAGAUCACCUUCUCCUCUCUCUCGCUCUCUUUUCGUCUCUCUCGUUCUCCCUCAUGGAGAACUUCCUCGUUGUUCUCUCUGCUACACGGAUGACACGGCUGAUCCUCUCCAGACCAGUCCCAGAAUCUGCACAGGCAAGAGGCUGAAUCCGAGUGCGCUGCCGCAUGAGCAUCAUUUUAUUUUUACUUCAUAUCUCUCUCUCUCUCUCUCUCUCUCUCUCUCUCUUUCUCUCUCCUUUUUGGAGAUCCGGAGAACUGGAUAUACUGGGAAUACUGAGAAGUGCUUAGUUAAAAAAAUAACGGGAAAAAGCCACUGCUUCUGCUUCCCCUCGGAUCUGUGGAUCAUCAGGAAUCCAGGGUGCUACGGAAAACAGGGAAUUGCUACACUUUCGGUUCAUAUAUCAGAGCUGGAUUAUUUUACGGAUUUUACCAGAUCAUGCUGGGAAUUUUCCAGAAGCCUCUGCAGGAUCUAUGUGCAGACGUUACCGUGCUUUUGUCGAGCUCUUUCUGGAAAAAGACAUUUCUGUUUUGUGUGAUGUGUGUUGAUGAACUUUUCGGGAACUGCGGCUCUGACAGGAAGAGCUGCGAAUCGCAGAUCGCACAUAUAAAUCAAUGUAGCAAAUGAAAUUGUUUCCAUAGCAACAGCAAGAAAAGAGUAUGGUGUUCGUGUACCAUGUGUGGAAGGAGACUUCAGUGUCAGCGCUUCGUUACAGUCCGAGGUGAAGCUGGAGCUUCAGGUUUUUAAGGGGCUUUGAUGAAAAUUAUGGAAUUUGUUCCUAGAACAUUAAGUUAACUUGAAACGGAUAAAAAGUAUGACAUCACUUACCAAAUAAAUCAAUGGAUUCCUUAGCAAAUUUUCUUUGCUUGUGAUUUGUGCAAGGAGUUUAUCAUCAUGUUGAUGAUGAUGAUGAUGAUGAUGAUGACCAUAAAUAUUUUGCUUCAAAAUAAGUAACCCAGAGGUGGUGAAGCUUAACUAAGCCUUAGUAAAUAGGGUUCUUCAAGAGUUCCCCAGAGGUUUUGAGAAUGUUCUUAGCCUCCUAAAUGGUCUCACUCUGAAACCCAUUGUGUCUUAUACCCCUUUUCCACCAAAAAGAACCGGGUGCUGGUUCAAAGUUGGUUCCACUGGCAAACCUUCUAAGAACCGGUUUGCCUUUCCAUCGGUUAGAGAGCCAUCACAGAGCCGAGUCUGACGUCACCAUAUACGUGUCACGUUACACAGCAACGUUAGCGCAGCAGCGGCAAACAAAACCACAACAUCAACAAUG
This is a long non-coding RNA of Tachysurus vachellii, 5327 nucleotides long. RefSeq lists it as uncharacterized. NCBI's taxonomy places the organism in Eukaryota, Metazoa, Chordata, Actinopteri, Siluriformes, Bagridae. The record is from RefSeq and is a predicted model, not a curated record. The transcript is spliced from 7 exons.